Molecule: ribosomal RNA, 468 nt
Filed under: uncultured bacterium
Lineage: Bacteria
Description: bacterial SSU rRNA
Rfam family: Bacterial small subunit ribosomal RNA
Source: RNAcentral
AUUGAACGCUGGCGGCAUGCUUUACACAUGCAAGUCGAACGGCAGCACGGGUGCUUGCACCUGGUGGCGAGUGGCGGACGGGUGAGUAAUGCAUCGGAACGUGUCCUGAAGUGGGGGAUAACGCAUCGAAAGAUGUGCUAAUACCGCAUAUUCUCUGAGGAGAAAAGUAGGGGAUCGAAAGACCUUAUGCUUUUGGAGCGGCCGAUGUCUGAUUAGCUAGUUGGUAAGGUAAUGGCUUACCAAGGCAACGAUCAGUAGUUGGUCUGAGAGGACGGCCAGCCACACUGGGACUGAGACACGGCCCAGACUCCUACGGGAGGCAGCAGUGGGGAAUUUUGGACAAUGGGCGCAAGCCUGAUCUAGCAAUGCCGCGUGAGUGAAGAAGGCCUUCGGUGUAAAGCUCUUUCAGUUGAGAAGAAAAAGUACGUGACUAAUAAUCAUGAUUCAUGACGGUAUCAACAGAAGAAG